This 476-nucleotide ribosomal RNA is filed under the name Boophis madagascariensis (Madagascar bright-eyed frog). RNAcentral's name for it is "partial 16S ribosomal RNA". It matches the Rfam family "Bacterial large subunit ribosomal RNA", at positions 1859 to 2549 of the family's 2925-position model. The record is from RNAcentral. Lineage: Eukaryota; Metazoa; Chordata; Amphibia; Anura; Mantellidae.
CUGCCCGGUGACAAGAUUUAACGGCCGCGGUACCCUAACCGUGCGAAGGUAGCAUAAUCACUUGUUCUUUAAAUGAGGACUCGUAUCAACGGCAUCACGAGGAUCCUACUGUCUCCCCCCUCUAAUCGGUGAAACUGAUCUCUCCGUGAAGAAGCGGAGAUGUACAUAUAAGACGAGAAGACCCCAUGGAGCUUUAAACCCAACAACACCCGCCCCUCUCCAAAUCCCAUUAUUUUCCCGGUGAUUGUUUGUUUGGUUUUAGGUUGGGGUGACCGCGGAGUAUAAGAUAUCCUCCAUGAAAAAAAGCUAACUGCCCUUAUUAGAGAAAGACACUUCCAAAAAAUAAUAAAUUAAUUUUAAAUGAUCCGACAUUCGAUCAACGAACCAAGUUACCCUGGGGAUAACAGCGCAAUCCGCCCCGAGAGCCCCUAUCGACAGGCGGGUUUACGACCUCGAUGUUGGAUCAGGGUAUCCCA